GAUGAACGCUGGCGGCGUGCCUAAUACAUGCAAGUCGAGCGAACGGACGAGAAGCUUGCUUCUUUGAUGUUAGCGGCGGACGGGUGAGUAACACGUGGAUAACCUACCUAUAAGACUGGGAUAACUUCGGGAAACCGGAGCUAAUACCGGAUAAUAUUUUGAACCGCAUGGUUCAAAGGUGAAAGACGGUCUUGCUGUCACUUAUAGAUGGAUCCGCGCUGCAUUAGCUAGUUGGUAAGGUAACGGCUUACCAAGGCAACGAUGCAUAGCCGACCUGAGAGGGUGAUCGGCCACACUGGAACUGAGACACGGUCCAGACUACUACGGGAGGCAGCAGUAGGGAAUCUUCCGCAAUGGGCGAAAGCCUGACGGAGCAACGCCGCGUGAGUGAUGAAGGUCUUCGGAGCGUAAAACUCUGUUAUUAGGGAAGAACAUAUGUGUAAGUAACUGUGCACAGCUUGACGGUACCUAAUCAGAAAGCCACGGCUAACUACGUG
This 497-nucleotide ribosomal RNA is filed under the name uncultured bacterium. RNAcentral's name for it is "partial 16S ribosomal RNA". It matches the Rfam family "Bacterial small subunit ribosomal RNA", at positions 28 to 507 of the family's 1533-position model. The record is from RNAcentral.